Molecule: small RNA, 958 nt
Filed under: Pan troglodytes (chimpanzee)
Lineage: Eukaryota; Metazoa; Chordata; Mammalia; Primates; Hominidae
Description: retained intron
Source: RNAcentral
AAGUUCGACGGCGCCGGGCGAGUGGCUGUUGAGCGGCGGCGCGGGAGUUCCGCAGGUUCCCCGUGUCCGCAGCGGAGCCGGAGGCCAGCUGAGCCCGGCCGUGGGAUCCCGGAUAGGAGGAGGAGGGGACCCACAGGACGCGUAAACAUGGACCUGGAAAACAAAGUGAAGAAGAAAAAUAUGUCGUAACUGCAAGUGUGGCCAAGAAGAGCAUGAUGUCCUCUUGAGCAAUGAAGAGGAUCGAAAAGUGGGAAAACUUUUUGAAGACACCAAGUAUACCACUCUGAUUGCAAAACUAAAGUCAGAUGGAAUUCCCAUGUAUAAACGCAAUGUUAUGAUAUUGACGAAUCCAGUUGCUGCCAAGAAGAAUGUCUCCAUCAAUACAGUUACCUAUGAGUGGGCUCCUCCUGUCCAGAAUCAAGCAUUGGUAAAUAAUAUGGGGACAGAGAGUUUCUUUAUUGAAGUUCCUGGAGUAUUUAUUUGGGGCAGUUUCUUUGAUGACCUAAUCAACUUCACACGUCCCAGAUCUGUUAUUCUUCCGGGGUUCUCAUUACUUUGACUUCUGAUUCCUGUUCUAGUCUUUUGAAUGUAAGACUAGAUACUUCAUAAAAUUUUUCCAACUCCCUAGAUAUGUUUACCUUUUUGAGGGAAUGGUCUAACGUUCUUAAUAAUUAGAUGGAAAUCAGAUGUUUUAUAUCAAUCUAGUAACUCUUCUAGCUUAGUCUUGAGAGGAUUUAUCUUAAGAUGGUAAAGAAGAGAAUUUUUGUCAUAGUUUAGAACUGAAAAAAAUAUUCAACAUUAUCUUUGUGUUUUUUUCAUUUCCUUUAUUAAUACUAUAUAAGACCAAAAAGAUCACAGUUUUAUAUCAAGCUCCUUCCACUAUUAUAACAACCAAAUGAAACAUUUGGAAGUCUUUUAAGGUUAAAUCAUUAAAGUGAAUUUUGCGAUAUCAUUUUUU